CUGACAAGCCUAUGAAGAGCGUGCUCAGUAUGUCUCUUCAAAGAGUCCCUACUCCCAAAGCAGGAAGUCCAGCCCUGUGCAGCUUGGAAACAACAUGAAGCAGACAGGAAGGAAGCAUGCCACGAUGGCAAGGCAAGGGCACCGUGCAACGCCACCCCAGCCUCUGCUCCCAAGUGCAACAGUGCAGAAACCACUAUGAACCGUACUCAUAAUGGACCCCCGACUCCAUAUCCAGAUAGGACAAACUCACCCGGCAAGCAGUCCCUGGCCAGCAUCCACGCACCCAGGACUGACGGCCCCCACCAUGCCUCCGCAACCACACAAACAUACCUUUUUCCAAUUAACCUGUUCACCUGUGGAAUGUUCUAAACAGGUGUUUUUUGAGCAUUCUUCUACUUUCUCAGUCUUUUGUUGCCCAUGUCCCAGCUUUUUUUGGAAUGUGUUGCAAGCAUCAAAUUAAAAAUGAGCGAAUAUUUGCAGUUUGAACAUUAAAUAUCUUUUCACUAGCAAGGACCACGCCAUAAAGAUAUGAGAUUAAAGGUUUAAUGAAGGAAGAGGUUGCGGGGAUGGAUGAAGUGGAAAUGAGGAUUAGGUCAUCUGGGGAGACUGCCAGAAGGCCAAGGAGGAGGAGACUCAGCAUGGGGGUGCAGUCUUUAGGAAAAUUGCUUUUUUAGGAGUCCACCCAGGACCCCCCUAGAUGGAACCUGCAUCGAACAGAAGAGGAUAAUGAAUGACGAAGUAGGGAUGAGGGGGAUGGAAUGAAGGGAAGGAAGGGGGAUGAGUUGAGAAGGGCUGAGGGUAAGGGAGGGUGGGCUUGAAAGAAUGUGACAGACUGUGAGAUAUGAGUGAACUAGGUAGAGUGCAGGGUAGUGGAGGUGUGGUUUUGGUGUGGCCCUGAUCCCAAACUUAACAUAUUAACUUCAUGUCUUUGUAGUGUAUUCAGUAGCAUACUGUAUAGGUUGAGCAGGAUUUGCAAAUCAUUGUACUCUGUUUUUAUUUAUGUUUUACACAACGUACCACCGUUAUUUGAAUUGGGGUUGUACUCUCCUGGGCAUGGUAUCAUUAAUUUUUGACUUUUAAUUAACUGUUAUUUUUUUCAGGGUGGGAUGAUUAUACAAAAUACAACUUCAGUGAUUUAAAAACAUA
This is a long non-coding RNA of Girardinichthys multiradiatus, 1146 nucleotides long. RefSeq lists it as uncharacterized. NCBI's taxonomy places the organism in Eukaryota, Metazoa, Chordata, Actinopteri, Cyprinodontiformes, Goodeidae. The record is from RefSeq and is a predicted model, not a curated record. The transcript is spliced from 2 exons.